Molecule: long non-coding RNA, 242 nt
Organism: Mus musculus (house mouse)
Lineage: Eukaryota; Metazoa; Chordata; Mammalia; Rodentia; Muridae
Product: predicted gene, 53359
Exons: 3
Source: RefSeq, a predicted model, not a curated record
GUAAGUGGCAAGGCUGCCAGUCAAAGAACAACCAAGAGGUGGGAGGGGCUAAAUGUAUUUGGACUCCUGGGAUUCAUAACCACUAUGCCUCAAGAUCUCCGUGCCAAGAUCCAAGUUAGAAACUUUUAUCUCCCAGCCUCAAUAUCAGGAUCACAGCUGCCAGCCAGAAGUGUAUAAAUACAGAUCUUUUUGGAUGUGGACAAAAUGUCUUGAAAUUGUGUCAAUGGCUGUGCAUGCAUACA